CCCUUAGAUGUUCUGGGCCGCACGCGCGCUACACUGACGAAUGCAACGAGCUUAUAACCUUGGCCGAAAGGUCUGGGUAAUCUCCAAAUUUCGUCGUGAUGGGGAUAGAUUAUUGCAAUUAUUAAUCUUCAACGAGGAAUGCCUAGUAAGCGCAAGUCAUCAGCUUGCGUUGAUUACGUCCCUGCCCUUUGUACACACCGCCCGUCGCUCCUACCGAUUGAAUGAUCCGAUGAAUAUCAUGGAUUGAGGAUGCAAGUAGGUUAGCCUAUCUUCAUCUUCGAGAAGUGAAGUAAAUCUUAUCAUUUAGAGGAAGGAGAAGUCGUAACA
This 327-nucleotide ribosomal RNA is filed under the name uncultured eukaryote. RNAcentral describes it as "partial 18S ribosomal RNA". It matches the Rfam family "Eukaryotic small subunit ribosomal RNA", at positions 1470 to 1796 of the family's 1831-position model. The record is from RNAcentral.